Molecule: ribosomal RNA, 464 nt
Filed under: uncultured Rhodocyclaceae bacterium
Lineage: Bacteria; Pseudomonadati; Pseudomonadota; Betaproteobacteria; Rhodocyclales; Rhodocyclaceae
Description: bacterial SSU rRNA
Rfam family: Bacterial small subunit ribosomal RNA
Source: RNAcentral
ACCCGCACAAGCGGUGGAUGAUGUGGAUUAAUUCGAUGCAACGCGAAGAACCUUACCUACCCUUGACAUGUCCGGAAUCCCGAAGAGAUUUGGGAGUGCUCGCAAGAGAACCGGAACACUGGUGCUGCAUGGCUGUCGUCAGCUCGUGUCGUGAGAUGUUGGGUUAAGUCCCGCAACGAGCGCAACCCUUGUCAUUAGUUGCCAUCAUUUGGUUGGGCACUCUAAUGAGACUGCCGGUGACAAACCGGAGGAAGGUGGGGAUGACGUCAAGUCCUCAUGGCCCUUAUGGGUAGGGCUUCACACGUCAUACAAUGGUCGGUACAGAGGGUUGCCAACCCGCGAGGGGGAGCUAAUCCCACAAAGCCGAUCGUAGUCCGGAUCGCAGUCUGCAACUCGACUGCGUGAAGUCGGAAUCGCUAGUAAUCGUGGAUCAGCAUGUCACGGUGAAUACGUUCCCGGGCCUU